This 301-nucleotide ribosomal RNA is filed under the name halophilic archaeon. RNAcentral's name for it is "bacterial SSU rRNA". It matches the Rfam family "Archaeal small subunit ribosomal RNA", at positions 220 to 518 of the family's 1478-position model. Lineage: Archaea; Methanobacteriati; Methanobacteriota; Halobacteria; Halobacteriales. The record is from RNAcentral.
GCCGAUUAGGUAGAUGGUGGGGUAACGGCCCACCAUGCCGAUAAUCGGUACAGGUUGUGAGAGCAAGAGGCCUGGAGACGGUAUCUGAGACAAGAUACCGGGCCCUACGGGGCGCAGCAGGCGCGAAACCUUUACACUGCACGACAGUGCGAUAGGGGGACUCCGAGUGUGAGGGCAUAUAGCCCUCGCUUUUCUGGUACCGUAAGGUGGUACAGGAACAAGGACUGGGCAAGACCGGUGCCAGCCGCCGCGGUAAUACCGGCAGUCCAAGUGAUGGCCGAUAUUAUUGGGCCUAAAGCGU